AAUAGAUACCCGGGUAGUCCAUGCCGUAAACGUUGGGCGCUAGGUGUGGGGACUUUCCACGGUUUCCGCGCCGUAGCUAACGCAUUAAGCGCCCCGCCUGGGGAGUACGGCCGCAAGGCUAAAACUCAAAGGAAUUGACGGGGGGCCCGCACAAGCGGCGGAGCAUGUUGCUUAAUUCGACGCAACGCGAAGAACCUUACCAAGGUUUGACAUCACCCGUGGACCUGUAGAGAUACAGGGUCAUUUAGUUGGUGGGUGACAGGUGGUGCAUGGCUGUCGUCAGCUCGUGUCGUGAGAUGUUGGGUUAAGUCCCGCAACGAGCGCAACCCUUGUUCCAUGUUGCCAGCACGUAAUGGUGGGGACUCAUGGGAGACUGCCGGGGUCAACUCGGGAGGAAGGUGGGGACGACGUCAAGUCAUCAUGCCCCUUAUGUCUUGGGCUGCAAACAUGCUACAAUGGCCGGUACAAUGGGCGUGCGAUACCGUAAGGUGGAGCGAAUCCCUUAAAGCCGGUCUCAGUUCGGAUUGGGGUCUGCAACUCGACCCCA
RNAcentral lists this ribosomal RNA (547 nucleotides) under uncultured bacterium. RNAcentral's name for it is "bacterial SSU rRNA". It matches the Rfam family "Bacterial small subunit ribosomal RNA", at positions 777 to 1320 of the family's 1533-position model. The record is from RNAcentral.